AGAGUUUGAUCCUGGCUCAGAAUGAACGCUGGCGGCGUGCUUAACACAUGCAAGUCGUACGAGAACACUCUAGCUUGCUAGGGUAAGUAAAGUGGCGCACGGGUGAGUAACGCGUGGGUAAUCUACCUUCGAAUUGGGGAUAACGUUGCGAAAGCGACGCUAAUACCGAAUAACAUCCAUUAAUCUUCGGGUUUUUGGAUCAAGGGUGGCCUCUACAUGUAAGCUACUGUUUGAAGAUGAGCCCGCGUACCAUUAGCUUGUUGGUGGGGUAAAGGCCUACCAAGGCUUCGAUGGUUAGCUGGUCUGAGAGGAUGAUCAGCCACACUGGAACUGACACACGGUCCAGACUCCUACGGGAGGCAGCAGUGAGGAAUUUUGCGCAAUGGGGGAAACCCUGACGCAGCAACGCCGCGUGAGUGAUGAAGGCUUUCGGGUCGUAAAGCUCUGUCAAGUGGGAAGAACCUGCAGUAUGCUAAUAUCAUAUUGCACUGACGGUACCACUGAAGGAAGCACCGGCUAACUCCGUGCCAGCAGCCGCGGUAAUACGGGGGGUGCAAGCGUUAUUCGGAAUCAUUGGGCGUAAAGAGCACGUAGGCGGCCUGGUAAGUCAGAUGUGAAAGCCCGGGGCUUAACCCCGGAAGUGCAUUUGAUACUGUCAGGCUUGAGUAUGGGAGAGGGAAGUGGAAUUCCUGGUGUAGAGGUGAAAUUCGUAGAUAUCAGGAGGAACACCGGUGGCGAAGGCGACUUCCUGGACCAAUACUGACGCUGAGGUGCGAAGGCGUGGGUAGCAAACAGGAUUAGAUACCCUGGUAGUCCACGCAGUAAACGUUGUUCACUAGGUGUAGCGGGUAUUGACCCCUGCUGUGCCGCAGUUAACGCAUUAAGUGAACCGCCUGGGGAGUACGGCCGCAAGGUUAAAACUCAAAGGAAUUGACGG
Molecule: ribosomal RNA, 937 nt
Filed under: uncultured bacterium
Lineage: Bacteria
Description: bacterial SSU rRNA
Rfam family: Bacterial small subunit ribosomal RNA
Source: RNAcentral